GAUGAACGCUGGCGGCGUGCUUAACACAUGCAAGUCGAACGAAGCACUUUAUUUGAUUUCCUUCGGGACUGAUUAUUUUGUGACUGAGUGGCGGACGGGUGAGUAACGCGUGGGUAACCUGCCUUGUACAGGGGGGAUAACAGUUGGAAACGGCUGCUAAUACCGCAUAAGCGCACAGCAUCGCAUGAUGCAGUGUGAAAAACUCCGGUGGUAUAAGAUGGACCCGCGUUGGAUUAGCUAGUUGGUGAGGUAACGGCCCACCAAGGCGACGAUCCAUAGCCGACCUGAGAGGGUGACCGGCCACAUUGGGACUGAGACACGGCCCAAACUCCUACGGGAGGCAGCAGUGGGGAAUAUUGCACAAUGGGCGAAAGCCUGAUGCAGCGACGCCGCGUGAGCGAAGAAG
This 406-nucleotide ribosomal RNA is filed under the name uncultured bacterium. RNAcentral describes it as "bacterial SSU rRNA". It matches the Rfam family "Bacterial small subunit ribosomal RNA", at positions 28 to 413 of the family's 1533-position model. The record is from RNAcentral.